RNAcentral lists this long non-coding RNA (984 nucleotides) under Mytilus galloprovincialis (Mediterranean mussel). The record is from RNAcentral. Lineage: Eukaryota; Metazoa; Mollusca; Bivalvia; Mytilida; Mytilidae.
GAUAAAAUUCGGAUAUCACGGCCCAGGCCAUGUGUAAAUUUCCAACAAUCUAUAUAUUCCAUGAAUUAUUUUUUAAUUUACAGAUAAGUUAAAACAUAGUUGUUUUUUAUUUAGUUAAAUUACCAACAUGUUUUAUCAUGUAAAGAAAGUUUCGUGUCGAAAGUUGUGAAAUCAAGGAUUUAUGAUAUAAAAUUGUAAUUGGAGGCUUUUUGUUUUCUUGUAUAGUUAGAUUCUAAAUUUGAAUUAAAGCUAGAGAUGUCCACCAGAAACCAAAUAAGCCGGAAAUAUUGUCAAAGUUUAUACCCUGUCUGAGACCUGAAUACCAUAUAAUAUCUUUCUCCGUUCGUAUUUUGUAUAUUGUAUUAUGCAUUAUUUAUUUCAUGUCACCUUUAUGUUUGUAUAUUGUAUUACUCAAGAAUAUUUUGUAAAAAUUUGUAUUAUGGGUUGCUACAAAACUAUUUUUAUUAUGUGUAUGUUUCCUUUAAGCUGUAUUACUUUUUUAAAUAAAGUAUCAUUGGUAUACACUGUUAAACUAUUGCUUUUCAAAAUAACAGUAAUGACUUUUAAAAUCAAUAUAUCAAUUAAAUGGUUUUGUACAGAGUUGAAUAUUUAUACUAUAUCUAAACUUAUUUCCUUAUAGAUAAAAGUUUAAUUAUGUAAUAAGAAAUAAAAAAAAACAUUAAUGGAAUAUAAUUAGUUGGCCUAUAGUUAUCAAAGGUACCAGGAUUAUAAUUUAGUACGCCAGACGCGCGUUUUGUCUACAUAAGACUCAUCAGUGACGCUCAUAUCAAAAUAUUUAUAAAGCCAAACAAGUGCAAAGUUGAAGAGCAUUGAGGGUCAUUCUAUUAAAUAGCCAGUAGAGCGAUGAGAAAGUCCAGUUUUGCCUUCAGUAAUACAAUUAUCUUCUAAAAGGGGUUUAUUUAUCUACUGCAGUUUUAUCAGAAGGCUUACAAGAUAUGUAUUCUAUUUUAAAUAAAAAGUCAA